AUGGGGUGCAGCAGGCGCGAAACCUCCGCAAUGCGGGCAACCGCGACGGGGGGACCCCCAGUGCCGUGGCAUCGCCACGGCUUUUCCGGAGUGUAAAAAGCUCCGGGAAUAAGGGCUGGGCAAGGCCGGUGGCAGCCGCCGCGGUAAUACCGGCGGCCCAAGUGGUGGCCGCUAUUAUUGGGCCUAAAGCGUCCGUAGCCGGGCCCGUAAGUCCCCGGCGAAAUCCCACGGCUCAACCGUGGGGCUUGCUGGGGAUACUGCGGGCCUUGGGACCGGGAGAGGCCGGGGGUACCCCUGGGGUAGGGGUGAAAUCCUAUAAUCCCAGGGGGACCGCCAGUGGCGAAGGCGCCCGGCUGGAACGGGUCCGACGGUGAGGGACGAAGGCCAGGGGAGCGAACCGGAUUAGAUACCCGGGUAGUCCUGGCUGUAAAGGAUGCGGGCUAGGUGUUGGGCGGGCUUAGAGCCCGCCCAGUGCCGCAGGGAAGCCGUUAAGCCCGCCGCCUGGGGAGUACGGCCGCAAGGCUGAAACUUAAAGGAAUUGGCGGGGGAGCAC
This 553-nucleotide ribosomal RNA is filed under the name uncultured euryarchaeote. RNAcentral's name for it is "bacterial SSU rRNA". It matches the Rfam family "Archaeal small subunit ribosomal RNA", at positions 325 to 879 of the family's 1478-position model. Lineage: Archaea; Methanobacteriati; Methanobacteriota. The record is from RNAcentral.